This 472-nucleotide ribosomal RNA is filed under the name uncultured bacterium. RNAcentral's name for it is "bacterial SSU rRNA". It matches the Rfam family "Bacterial small subunit ribosomal RNA", at positions 355 to 825 of the family's 1533-position model. The record is from RNAcentral.
UGGGGAAUUUUGGACAAUGGGCGAAAGCCUGAUCCAGCAAUGCCGCGUGCAGGAUGAAGGCCUUCGGGUUGUAAACUGCUUUUGUACGGAACGAAAAAGCUCCUUCUAAUACAGGGGGCCCAUGACGGUACCGUAAGAAUAAGCACCGGCUAACUACGUGCCAGCAGCCGCGGUAAUACGUAGGGUGCGAGCGUUAAUCGGAAUUACUGGGCGUAAAGCGUGCGCAGGCGGUUAUGUAAGACAGAUGUGAAAUCCCCGGGCUCAACCUGGGAACUGCAUUUGUGACUGCAUGGCUAGAGUACGGUAGAGGGGGAUGGAAUUCCGCGUGUAGCAGUGAAAUGCGUAGAUAUGCGGAGGAACACCGAUGGCGAAGGCAAUCCCCUGGACCUGUACUGACGCUCAUGCACGAAAGCGUGGGGAGCAAACAGGAUUAGAUACCCCCGUAGUCCCUGAGCGGGCUGGCAAGGCGCAU